UUUUUUUCAGCGGGAAAUUUGAGAUUAUUGUCGUUGCAGCUAAAUUUGUUUUCUGUUUUAACAAUUUCUUUUUUGACUGGAUUAUUUUCGUGGUAGUUAUUUUAUUUUAUGUCAUGCCAUAUAGAUUUCUUUCUGCAAUUUUGAAUUAUGAAUUAUUUAUUUUCUAUUUUUCAAAAAAAAAAAAAAAAAACUCCAAAUCAA
RNAcentral lists this unclassified non-coding RNA (201 nucleotides) under Hevea brasiliensis (rubber tree). Lineage: Eukaryota; Viridiplantae; Streptophyta; Magnoliopsida; Malpighiales; Euphorbiaceae. The record is from RNAcentral.